Anolis carolinensis (green anole) is the source of this 6800-nucleotide RNA transcript. RefSeq lists it as uncharacterized. The record is from RefSeq and is a predicted model, not a curated record. NCBI's taxonomy places the organism in Eukaryota, Metazoa, Chordata, Lepidosauria, Squamata, Anolidae. The transcript is spliced from 2 exons.
ACCCUUUGGGUUCGUUUGCUUAGCCAAUUACAGAUCCACCUAACCGUAGUUUUGCCUAGCCCACAUUUUACUAGUUUGUUUGCCAGAAGGUCGUGAGGGACUUUGUCGAAGGCCUUACUGAAACCUAGGUAUGCUACAUCCACGGCAUUCCCUGUAUCGACCCAACUCGUAACUCUAUCGAAAAAAGAGAUAAGAUUAGUCUGGCAUGACUUGUUUCUGGUAAAUCCGUGUUGACUAUUAGCAAUGACUGCAUUUGUUUCUAAGUGUUUGCAGACCACUUCCUUAAUGAUCUUUUCCAGAAUUUUGCCUGGUAUGGACGUGAGGCUGACCGGACGGUAAUUGUUUGGAUUGUUCUUUUUUCCCUUCUUGAAGAUAGGGACCACAUUUGCCCUCCUCCAAUCUUCUGGGACUUCUCCUGUUCUCCAAGAACUCUCGAAGAUAAUUGUCAGUGGUUCUGAAAUAACCUCAGCUAGUUCCUUCAAUACUCUUGGAUGUAGCUGAUCUGGCCCUGGGGACUUGAAUUCGUUUAGAGCGGCCAGUUGUUCCUGGACAACUUGUCUCCCUAUUUGGGGUUGGAUUUCCCUGAAUCCUUCCAUUUCAUGUUGCUGAGGUUGAAGAUGGCUUUCUUUUUGUGAGAAGACCGAGGCAAAGAAGGCAUUAAGCAGUUCUGCCUUUUCCCUGUCCCCUGUCACCAUCACCCCAUCUUCUCCUUGCAGAGGCCCUAUCGCCUCCUUUUUCUUCCUUUUUCUACCAAAGUAAGCAAAAAAAGCCCUUUUUGUUGUUUUUAAUGUCCCUGGCAAGCCUGAACUCAUUUUGCGCUUUAGCCUUGCGAACCUUUUUCCUACAGGAGUUGGCUAUAUGUUUGAAUUCUUCUUUGGUGAUUUCUCCCCUUUUCCACUUCUUGUGCAUUUCUCUCUUGAGUAUUAGCCCGGUUAGAAGUUCUUUGGACAUCCACUCUGGCUUCUUUGCACUUGUCUUAUUUUUUUUCUUUGUUGGCACUGUUAGCAUUUGCGUCUUGAGUAUUUCACUUUAAAAAAACUCAUCCAUCCUUAACUCCCUUGUCUUUUAAUAUUGGCGUCCAUGGAAUGCCGCUCAGUAUUUCCUUCAUUUUUUGGAAGUCAGCUCUCUUAAAGUCCAGAAUGCGUGUUUGACUUGUCUUAGUUUCAGCCUUCCUUUGUAUGGCAAACUCCAGGAGCACAUGGUCACUUGCCCCUAAGGAUCCGACGACUUCUACUGUAUUGAUCAGGUCUUCCACAUUUGUUAAGAUUAGAUCAAGAGUUUCUGAUCCCCUUGUUGACUCUUCUACCUUCUGGACUAUAAAAUUGUCUGCAAGGCAAGUGAGGAAUUUGUUGGACUUUGUGCUCUUGGCCGAGUUUGUUUUCCAGAGAUAUCAGGAUAGUUGAAGUCGCCCAUGACUACUAUAUCUCUUCUUUGUGCCUGUUUUGUCAGCUGCUGACAGAAGUCUUCAUUCAGAAGGAGAUCGCACCCAGUUGGUGAAGCUGGGAGGCACGUGCUCACACCCCUGGCCAUUGAACUGUGGGUUCCAUUCUAUCUCCCAUACUUUUUAACAUCUACAUGAAACCGCUGGGUGAGGUCAUCUCGAGUUUUGAAGUUUGGUGCCAUCUGUACGCAAAUGACACUCAACUCUACUACUUCUUUCAAUCAAAUUCCAAGGAAGCCUCCCAGCCUUUUAUAUUUUCGAUUUUUGUCGACAAAGAUUUCGACACCCAUACCAUAUCAAUUCUGGACCAUGUCCGAUGUCUGCUCGAAAAAUAUGUAUAAUCAUUUUCCCCUGGAUUAUGCUCUCUCCAUGCAUCAAUUAAAUCAUAUUCUUCUUUCAGAGCAAUAAUGUUUUUGGUAAUGAGCUAGUGCUUUUCUCUUUUUUUAUUAUUUUAGUUUUGUCCCUCUCUUUAUCUAAAACCCCAUUAAAGUCACCUAGUACUAUAAUGUGAUCAAAGUCUGUUUUAUUAACAUUAUCGUGGAGGAAUUUAAUAAAUUUUGAUUUAGGGCCAUUGGGCGCAUAAAUAUUACAAAUUAGAAUCUUUUCCCCCUCAAUUUCUAUCCUAAUUGCUAUUAUUCUACCUUCUUUAUCCUUAAAUUGUCCUUCUGCAGGUAUCGUAUGAUCUAUAUAUAGUACCAGCCCUCUUUUUUCACUGUGUCUGCAGCUAUAAAUUCAUUUCCAAGAUGGCUAUUUUUUAGGUAAUUUGUAUGAUUUAUGUUGAUAUAUGGAGCCUCUAGUAGCCUAGGGGAUAAAAGCCUUGUGACUUGAAGGUUGGGUUGCUGAUCUGAAAGCUGCCAGGUUCAAAUCCCACCUGGGGAGAGUGAGGAUGAGCUCCCUCUAUCAGCUCCAUGCGGGGACAUGAGAGAAGCCUCCCACAAGGAUGGUGAAACAUCAAAACAUCCGGGCGUCCCCUGGGCAAUGUCCUUGCAGACCACCAGUUCUCUCACUCCAGAAGCAACUCCGGUUGCCCCUGACACACACAAAAAAACCCCGUCGAUAUUGGUCUCCUGCAAGGCUAUGAUGUUAUAACUUCCUUUUCUUAGAGUGUUAAAUAGUCUUUUACGUUUGCUGGGUGAGUUCAGCCCGUUAAUGUUAUUAAAAAACAUUUCAAUGAAAGACUAACUUUAUUCAUCUUUUGGUGUAUCACAGUCGUCUUCAAUGAGUUCUUCUUCUUCCAGUUCCUCUUCAUCAGCUUGAUCCGUAGUCGUGUCCAGUUUGGCCAUUGUUAGUUCUCCUUCUUUGGAUGAAAAAAACCUUCUUUUUUUACUCUUAGGAUUUAUGCCAUGUCCUGUUGUGAGUGAUUGCUCUUCUAAAUUGAUUUCUCUCUUUAAUACUUUGUAGAAGGUUUUUGCUUCUUCCUCAGUUCUCAUCCACUUUUGUUCUCCUUUAUAAGUCGCUAUUAGGCCUUCAUACUUUUCUCAUCUAUAUUUGAUUUGAAGUUUUUUAAGUGUAUCUGUUAGGAAAUAAUAUUUCCUUCUUCUGUUUAAUAUCGUCUGUGGUAAUUCCUUUAGGAUAGUUACUUUUCUGUCCUUGUAACAUAUAGGCUUGGAGGCGUUCCUUCUCAGGAUUUCAUCCCAUGUGGGGUUUUUUUUUCAAAAAAUGAACAAUAAUGUCUCUAAUUGCCUUGGGUUUUUUUUUGUGUAAUUAGUAUGAAUCCUAUAUACUCUAUCAAUCUGCCCACACGCUUCCUGUUCUGUGCAUUGUAAUAUUCUAGCUGUUAAUUGUGCAAUCACCCAUCCAAUAUUCUCAUCCUUCUCCUCUUGCACAUUCCUAAAUCUUAACUGAAUUCUAACAAUUGGUAGUCAAUUUUUUCUUGAAUUUUCCCAAGUCUUCUCUCUUUUUCCUCUAGCUGGUCCAUUUUUUUUCUGUAAUUUGAUUUGCUCUAUGUCAAUCUUUGUUUUCUACUCUAAGGUCAUUAAUGUCAUUUGUAUUUUUCACUGUUUCCUUUUUUAUCGCACCUAAUUCUUCUCUGAUUUCUUUCUUCAGUUCAGACAUCUCUUCUUGUAGGUUCUUUUGUUGUUGAUCUUGUUUCUUCGCUAUUGUUUGCACCUCCUUUUGUAACAAAUCCUGUUUUUCUGAAAUUAUCUUAAUUUCCCUAAGAAUGUCCGUUAAGCUACGCUCCUCUGGUAAGGAGGAUCUAUGAGUGGACAUUUUAUAGUCCUUGAGUUCUUUAUCUGGCUUCCAUCUAGAGGAUGACAUCUUCGUUUGUUAAAUUAUAGAGCCGUUAUCUUUAACACCACUAGAGGGGGCCAACUGUCAAAUCUAGAUGAAAAUAGGGGUAAAGCCCCUUAAAAAAAACCAAAGUAAGGUUGUCACUACCCCUCUUGGAGUUCAAAGUCCAAUAUGGUGAGUGUAGAGUCUUUUAGCCUAUCUAGAUAUGCUUCUCAAUAGCAGCUGCAGAUUAUGCUAUGCAGUACUUCCUGCCCCUGCCUCUUAAUCGGCUAGUUGACAAGUUUGCUCUACACUUACAGUCCCCCUGGUUUCCUGGGCACUGGGUCCGACCAAAUCAGGUUAAAUACCCCUACCUUGGGUUUGCUUCUUCAGCUUGUCUUGCUGAGAUUCCUUGUUAUACGUUUCUUAUCUCCUUAUCUUGUGUUUCAGCGGGUCCGUCUCUUUUUCCCUCUGACCCUGUUCUCUGCUUAGCACUUCUCCCAAUUCCUUAUUUUUACUUCCUUUGGCAGGCCCGCUAGCGAGAACCUUGGCAAUUACUUAGAUUUUGUAUAGAUGCCACUCUUGCACGUUUUUUCUCUAUGGUUCUAGUUUCCCACUUCUGGUCCUUCCGGUCCGCGCUUUAGUCGCUCUGUGAUUUCCUUUUCCGGCCUCGUGGGCUACUCUAUAGUUGGUGCGUUUCGUUAUUUAUUCCCCAGAAGAGAGUAAUCCGAGCUUUAGUUCUUUUCCCGCUUCCGCUUCAUUCUGUGCUCCUUGGGGGAGACGCCGCCUCUUUUUUGUUUGUUUUGGGAGAAGGCAGUCCUAGUCAAAACAAUAUGGCAUUCAAGGUCAGUAGAAUUUUAUUUUUAUUUCUGCAGUUCCUGAUCUUUCAACAACCUGGUUUUCUAAUUUUGUAACUUCUCCGCGGUGUGUUCUUAUUCCCUUAUUUUAUCAAUUAGACGACAAUCUUCAAAUUCCCUGCUAUCCGGGCCCCAAAGCACAAUUCACAUUCAAUUCGUCCGAUGUGGCCUGAUAGUUAGCUAGCCUUUUAAAUCUUAAAAUGUUGUUACGGAUAGAGGGUCUCUUAAAGAAUUUUGGACCACUUCUUUUCCUGAGGAUUAGCAGUUCACUUACCUCCUCUCUUUUGUCUUCAUACCCUUGGAGCGAAUGAGGCUGACAGCAUGUGCUGGUUGACCCGCUAGCUGCUGUCUUUCGGACCCACUGGAUCCCUGUCCUUGAGGGGCGAGGAUCGCCUGGGGCUGUCGAAAGAUCCUGCGGUUGUAGCAUCUCCCCCCAGACUCAAUCCGUGGGAUGAGAGGGAGCUAAUGCUCUACCAGGUCAUUCCUUGCAGUUGACUACCUGAGAGCUCUCAGCAGAUCCAGCCUGUCGCCAUUAACUCCCCACCGGAACUAAUUCUCACUAAUUUUCUUACAAUAUCUUCCCACUCUCUUUACACCUCUUUAGCACAAUCAGCUGCACUCCUUUUGCCUCUGAAACAUUAGUCUUUCUGGACAUUUUCUUGUAACUGGCUGUCCAUUAAAACUGUAUACAGACAGUCCCCAAGUUACAAAAAAGCUUAAGUUGAAUUUAUAAGUUGGAAUAGGUACAUUUUUAAGUGUAACUCCAACCCAACAUAUAUAUUAGCUUUAGAUAGCAUAGGGAAGGGUUAACACCCCUGUGGUGUUUGUUUUGCUGUCUGUUCCCUGUUCAGGAGAUUUCACCUCCCCUUCUGUCCCUGUGAUAAUUUGAUUAUGAAAAAAAUGGCUUGUUGUGGAAACAAGGAUUGGUGUUAUAGCUUCAGCGGAGACACCUUUUCCCUAUAAGAACCCUUCCAAGAGUAAAUUUCCCUUCCUGGGGGUAGAUUUCUCUCACUUCUUGUUGUCUUACCCCUGUUUUUAACUAUGAGUCAUUUGUAAGUCGGAUGUUUGUAACUCGGGGAAUGGCUGUAGUUUAAAUUGUACCAUGACAUUUUUACACUACAGCCUGAAACAUUGAUCAUUCACUCUAUAUACAAACUUCUCUAUUUUGGAAGUUCGUGGUUGUCAUUAACAAACUGAAACUGUACAUUGGUGAGAUAUGAGGAUCCACAUGGCUUCAUUUAGACAUAAGCUGCUGUCUUUAAAAUAUGAGGACAGUCAUCUUCCUUUAAUAUGAGCAUGCACUAAAUUUCUGUAGUACAGCUUCUCUGAGCUGAUGCCCUCCAGAAGUAUUGAACUCCAGAUAUGUAAUAUGAGUUGUAGUCCUGCCAUGUACACUGGAAUUGAAGGGAGGGGUCUUUAAAGAGCCAUGAAUUUAAGUGGCUUUAAAAGAGCUACUUUAGGAGUAUCCUCCAAAAGUCGAAUGGACAUCGGUAAUCUCCAUCCUGCUUCAAACAGUUCUACCAACUAUAAUAAUCUUUUGAAAGGAAGCAAGAAAGGUUUUUGGUAGUAAAAUAUAUUUAUUUAUUAUAAUGCACGGUAGUCUUAACCUGACAUGUAAAAUAUUAUAGUGCAGUGCUUCUUAAAGUGGGUGAUAUUGCCCCCUGGGGGGCGUGGGAGUGAUCAAGGUAGGCAGUAGCAACCUGGGGAUGCAAUUGGCAAGUAUUGAAUAAAAAUAAGGGGCAAUGGAAGCAUAAAGAAAAGAAAAAUUUUAAAAAAACUUUUGUACAUGUUCUAUCCAUUGUGUAACAUAGAAUUAAAACAAUAUCAAUUACUUUAUUUUUCAAAUAAACAUACAAAAUGCAAGUUAUAACCAAUCAGUGGUCAAAUCUUCUGACAAGUGGAAGGCCAACAGCUUUGCUGACCAUAAAGAAGCUCAACAGAUAACACUGAAAAACAGAACAGUGGUGAAGAGGCACAACCAUAUGGCCAGCAUCAAGAGACUCCAUGCCAAGGAAGGAGCAAAAAGAAAAGGAAGAUCCUGAUCUGAACAAAUUAAUUGCUCUGGAGUCUGAGGGAAUUGUGUGCCAUCCUGAUGUUAUUGAAACUUGGGACCAGUGGACAGGCACCUCCACCAAUCAGCGGAGCAGCAAAAGUAAAUUAUUUGAAUUGCUGCCAAGUCUCUAUAAAAUGUCUCUGUAUGUAUCCAUUGUCUUAUGUCUGGCUUGAGAGUCCUUUCUCUCCUACAUCCACUUUUGGCUGAAGUGAAUAAACCUCUGAUCCUUGCCUUCAAA